RNAcentral lists this ribosomal RNA (490 nucleotides) under uncultured bacterium. RNAcentral describes it as "partial 16S ribosomal RNA". It matches the Rfam family "Bacterial small subunit ribosomal RNA", at positions 30 to 507 of the family's 1533-position model. The record is from RNAcentral.
AUUGAACGCUGGCGGCAGGCCUAACACAUGCAAGUCGAACGGUAACAGGAAGAAGCUUGCUUCUUUGCUGACGAGUGGCGGACGGGUGAGUAAUGUCUGUGAAACUGCCUGAUGGAGGGGGAUAACUACUGGAAACGGUAGCUAAUACCGCAUAACGUCGCAAGACCAAAGAGGGGGACCUUCGGGCCUCUUGCCAUCGUAUGUGCCCAGAUGGGAUUAGCUAGUAGGUGGGGUAACGGCUCACCUAGGCGACGAUCCCUAGCUGGUCUGAGAGGAUGACCAGCCACACUGGAACUGAGACACGGUCCAGACUCCUACGGGAGGCAGCAGUGGGGAAUAUUGCACAAUGGGCGCAAGCCUGAUGCAGCCAUGCCGCGUGUAUGAAGAAGGCCUUCGGGUUGUAAAGUACUUUCAGCGGGGAGGAAGGGAGUAAAGUUAAUACCUUUGCUCAUUGACGUUACCCGAAGAAGAAGCACCGGCUAACUCCGUG